CAGCCGCCGCGGUAAUACGAAGGUCCCAAGCGUUGUUCGGAAUCACUGGGCGUAAAGGGAGCGUAGGCGGCGUGGUAAGUCAGAUGUGAAAUCCCGGGGCUCAACCCCGGAACUGCAUUUGAUACUGCCAUGCUCGAGGGUUGGAGAGGUAGCUGGAAUUCUUGGUGUAGCAGUGAAAUGCGUGGAUAUCAAGAGGAACACUCGUGGCGAAGGCGAGCUACUGGACAACAUCUGACGCUGAGGCUCGAAGGCUAGGGUAGCGAAAGGGAUUAGAUACCCCAGUAGUCCCUGUCUCUUAUAC
Molecule: ribosomal RNA, 301 nt
Filed under: uncultured bacterium
Lineage: Bacteria
Description: partial 16S ribosomal RNA
Rfam family: Bacterial small subunit ribosomal RNA
Source: RNAcentral